GUCCUUAUAGCUUAAACCCAAAGCACGGCACUGAAGAUGCCGAGAUGGUACACCAGCACCUAAGGACA
Non-coding RNA from Rhea pennata, 68 nucleotides. The record is from the annotation of a RefSeq genome assembly. Lineage: Eukaryota; Metazoa; Chordata; Aves; Rheiformes; Rheidae.